CAGGGAAGCCACUUUUAUUUUUAUUUUUUCCACAUAGAUAAUUUCAUGUCAGCUACAAAAAUCAUGAAAUGAAGAACUAAUCGUGAAACUGCAAACUCAAAAACCACUGGAUUGAUAAACAGGAUCUCCCCAACGGACUGUUAAAAAAAUAACCAGAAUACCAUGAAUUCAUAUUUAAGUAGUAAACAUUGCUAGCCAUACAAUUAGACGUCACUUACCAGUCAGCUCAUUGCAUGUUUAAUAAUAUACAGUUACAUGCUAAUCCAUAUAUAUCAUUUAUAUUUCAAACACAUAGGUCUCUCUAUAUUUGUCUUUAAAAUUUACAUGUUGAACUUACAAAAAGCUAAAUUGCUGUGCAAGAAAUCCAAAUAACUAGCCCUGCUGAGUACUUUAUGCUAUAUGUAGGUGCAUGUGUCUCUCUCUCUCCCUGACAAACAAUGGGAUUAGAGUUAAU
RNAcentral lists this long non-coding RNA (454 nucleotides) under Bos taurus (domestic cattle). RNAcentral's name for it is "long non-coding RNA NONBTAT026881". Lineage: Eukaryota; Metazoa; Chordata; Mammalia; Artiodactyla; Bovidae. The record is from RNAcentral.